This 1018-nucleotide ribosomal RNA is filed under the name uncultured bacterium. RNAcentral describes it as "bacterial SSU rRNA". It matches the Rfam family "Bacterial small subunit ribosomal RNA", at positions 335 to 1343 of the family's 1533-position model. The record is from RNAcentral.
ACUCCUACGGGAGGCAGCAGUAGGGAAUCUUCCACAAUGGGCGAAAGCCUGAUGGAGCAACGCCGCGUGAGUGAAGAAGGUUUUCGGAUCGUAAAACUCUGUUGUAAGGGAAGAACAAGUACAGUAGUAACUGGCUGUACCUUGACGGUACCUUAUUAGAAAGCCACGGCUAACUACGUGCCAGCAGCCGCGGUAAUACGUAGGUGGCAAGCGUUGUCCGGAAUUAUUGGGCGUAAAGCGCGCGCAGGCGGUCCUUUAAGUCUGAUGUGAAAGCCCACGGCUCAACCGUGGAGGGUCAUUGGAAACUGGGGGACUUGAGUGCAGAAGAGGAAAGUGGAAUUCCAAGUGUAGCGGUGAAAUGCGUAGAGAUUUGGAGGAACACCAGUGGCGAAGGCGACUUUCUGGUCUUUUUUUUGAUGCUGAGGCGCGCAAGCGUGGGGAGCAAACAGGAUUAGAUACCCUGGUAGUCCACGCCGUAAACGAUGAGUGCUAAGUGUUAGGGGGUUUCCGCCCCUUAGUGCUGCAGCUAACGCAUUAAGCACUCCGCCUGGGGAGUACGGUCGCAAGACUGAAACUCAAAGGAAUUGACGGGGGCCCGCACAAGCGGUGGAGCAUGUGGUUUAAUUUGAAGCAACGCGAAGAACCUUACCAGGUCUUGACAUCCCGUUGACCACUGUAGAGAUAUAGUUUCCCCUUCGGGGGCAACGGUGACAGGUGGUGCAUGGUUGUCGUCAGCUCGUGUCGUGAGAUGUUGGGUUAAGUCCCGCAACGAGCGCAACCCUUGAUCUUAGUUGCCAUCAUUUAGUUGGGCACUCUAAGGUGACUGCCGGUGACAAACCGGAGGAAGGUGGGGAUGACGUCAAAUCAUCAUGCCCCUUAUGACCUGGGCUACACACGUGCUACAAUGGACGAUACAAACGGUUGCCAACUCGCGAGAGGGAGCUAAUCCGAUAAAGUCGUUCUCAGUUCGGAUUGUAGGCUGCAACUCGCCUACAUGAAGCCGGAAUCGCUAGUAAUC